This 400-nucleotide long non-coding RNA is filed under the name Equus caballus (horse). RNAcentral's name for it is "lncRNA (ENSECAG00000051339.1)". The record is from RNAcentral. Lineage: Eukaryota; Metazoa; Chordata; Mammalia; Perissodactyla; Equidae.
UUUCCCGAGCUGGUCUCCGCCCGUCUCUCCCUCUUUCUCCUGGGUCCGUUUCUCUUCCUCUCCCUUUCCCUACUUUCUUCAUCUCCCUCUCUCUCAUUCUCUCACUUUUUUCCCACUUCUUUACUAGAUUUGGAGGACAAGAAAACUUGAAGGAUGUGCUUUUGGGCACUAGAGCAAAGGCUCCCCAACUUCUCUCCAGUUUCCCAAGCAAUGACGUCUUAGGAUGGGUUCAUCCAUGGACCUCCUCCUGGCUAGCGGCCUAUUAAUUUUACUGUCGCUGCAACAGCAUGGCCACUGACAGAUGUGUGGUGUAGGUCUGCACUGGGGAACCGAACCCUAGCCGUAGAAGUGGAGCGCAUGGAACUUAACCACUAGGCCACUGGGGCUGGCCCUCUGGCCG